UACGGGAGGCAGCAGUGGGGAAUAUUGGACAAUGGGCGCAAGCCUGAUCCAGCCAUGCCGCGUGUGUGAUGAAGGCCUUAGGGUUGUAAAGCACUUUCGCCGGUGAAGAUAAUGACGGUAACCGGAGAAGAAGCCCCGGCUAACUUCGUGCCAGCAGCCGCGGUAA
This 166-nucleotide ribosomal RNA is filed under the name uncultured bacterium. RNAcentral describes it as "partial 16S ribosomal RNA". It matches the Rfam family "Bacterial small subunit ribosomal RNA", at positions 340 to 523 of the family's 1533-position model. The record is from RNAcentral.